This 2886-nucleotide ribosomal RNA is filed under the name metagenomes. Its description in RNAcentral is "bacterial LSU rRNA". It matches the Rfam family "Bacterial large subunit ribosomal RNA". The record is from RNAcentral.
UCAAGUAAUUAAGGGUGUUGGGUGGAUGGUUAGGCUCUCAGAGGCGAUGAAGGACGUGCUAAGCUGCGAAAAGCCGGGGGAAGAUGCACCGAAUCGACGAUCCCCGGGUGUCCGAAUGGGGCAACCCAGUAGAGUGAACCUCUAUUAUCCGAAAGGAAGCCAACCGGGUGAAUUGAAACAUCUUAGUAGCCCGAGGAAAAGAAAUCGAAGAGAUUCCGCCAGUAGCGGCGAGCGAAAACGGAAGAGGCCAAACCAGGGAGCUUGCUCCCUGGGGUUGUAGGACUGCAUUUAGGAUUCAAUGACGUGAGCAGAACUACCUGGAAAGGUAGGCCAGAGACGGUGAUAGCCCCGUACGCGAAACGAAGUUGACCGAGCAGUAUCCUGAGUAACGCAAGACUCGUGAAAUCCUGCGUGAAUCUGGGGCGACCAUGCUCUAAGCCUAAAUACUCCUGUGAGACCGAUAGUGCACAAGUAGCGCGAGCGAAAACUGAAAAGUACCCCUGACGGGGAGUGAAAUAGUCCCUGAAACCCAACACUUACAAGCAGUCAUAGGCCUAUGUCGCAAGACAGGCUGGUGGCGUGCCUUUUGCAUAAUGAUCCUGCGACUUACCGUCGGCUGCAAGCCUAAGGCCUUACGGGCUGGAGGCGUAGCGAAAGCGAGUGUGAAUAGCGCGUUGAGUAGUCGGCGGUAGACCCGAAACCUAGUGAUCUAGCCAUGAGCAGGUUGAAGCGAGGGUAACACCUCGUGGAGGACCGAACAGGUAUACCUUGAGAAGUGUUCUGAUGACUUGUGGCUAGGGGUAAAAGGUCAAUCAAACUGGGAGAUAUCUGGUUCUCCUCGAAAUAUAUAUAGGUAUAGGCUCGGAGGGUAGUUGUAAGGGGUAGAGCACUGAAUGGACUAGGGGCCUUACCGGGUUACCAAAUCCAAUCAAACUCCGAAUACUUACAGCGUAGACUCCGGGGCUCAGACAGUGGGGUCGAAUCUUCAUUGUCAAAAGGGAAAGAACCCAGACCAACAGCUAAGGUCCCAAAAUAACGCUCAGUGGUAAAGGAAGUCUUUGUGCUAUGACAGCUGGGACGUUGGCUUAGAAGCAGCCAUCGUUUAAAGAGUGCGUAACAGCUCACCAGUCGAGCACGAAGGUGCCGAAAAUAAUCGGGGCUUAAGCGUUAUACCGAAGCUUUGGCUGCUAUCACACCUGCGGGUGUGGUGGCGGGGUAGGGGAGCGUUGUAUGCGGAGCGAAGGUACACGGCAACGAGUACUGGACUGCAUACAAGUGAUUAUGCAGGAAUGAGUAACGAUCAAAAAGGUGAGAAUCCUUUUCGCCGUAAACCUAAGGUUUCCUCCGCUAGGUAAGUCCGCGGAGGGUUAGGCGGGACCUAAGACGAGGCCGAUAGGCGUAGUCGAUGGACAGCCGGUUCAUAUUCCGGCCCCUCUCAUGGGGUGCCCACGGAGAACACAGGAGACUAACACGGAGGGAUGCCAAGUAAGCCCUCGGCGUGAUGGUGAUUGCUGCAUUGAAAGAUGCGGUGCGUUCGCCAUUACGAUCAAACGCCUUGAGCGAUAUGAGCGUGUGAUGUCACCCUGUCGAGAAAAGCCCGUCGGGAGAUAAUGUCAUGAGAGACCGUACUAAAACUGACACAGGUAGGUGAGGAGAGUAUCCUCAGGUGCUCGAGAGAACUCUGGUUAAGGAACUCGGCAAAUUCACUCCGUACGUUCGCAAGAAGGAGUGCCAGCUUCGGCUGGCCGCAGUGAAGAGGCCCAACCGACUGUUUACUAAAAACACAGUUCUGUGCUAACUCGAAAGAGGAUGUAUACGGAAUGAUGCCUGCCCGGUGCUCGAAGGUCACAUGGAGCGGUUAGCGUAAGCGAAGCUGCGAAAUCAAGCCCGAGUAAACGGCGGCCGUAACUAUGACGGUCCUAAGGUAGCGAAAUUCCUUGUCGGGUAAGUUCCGACCUGCAUGAAAGGCAUAACGAGUUGGGCACUGUCUCAACCAGAGACUCGGUGAAAUUGCAAUAUGGGCGAAGAUACCCAUUACCCGCAGCAGGACGAAAAGACCCCGUGAACCUUUACUGCAGCUUGAUACUGUGUUUCUGUAACGCAUGCGUAGGAUAGGUGGGACGCUUUGAUUUCCUGGUUCCGGCUAGGGAUGAGCGGUCGGUGAAAUACCACUCUUGCGUUAUGGGAAUUCUAACCUGGCCUUUGUACGGCUGGGAACACUGUCAGGCGGGCAGUUUGGCUGGGGCGGCUUCCUCCCAAAGAGUAACGGAGGAGCACAAAGGUCAGCUCAGUACGGUUGGCAAUCGUACGUGGAGUGCAAGAGCAUAAGCUGGCUUAACUGCGAGACCCAUAAGUCGAGCAGACGCGAAAGCGGGUUCUAGUGAUCCGGUGGUUCCAGAUGGACGGGCCAUCGCUCAACAGAUAAAAGGUACUCCGGGGAUAACAGGCUGAUUUCGCCCAAGAGUCCCUAUCGACGGCGAAGUUUGGCACCUCGAUGUCGGCUCAUCUCAUCCUGGGGCUGGAGAAGGUCCCAAGGGUAUGGCUGUUCGCCAUUUAAAGAGGUACGCGAGCUGGGUUUAAACCGUCGUGAGACAGGUUGGUCUCUAUCCGCUGUGGGCGCUGGACGAUUGAGGAGACUUAACAUUAGUACGAGAGGAUUAUGUUGAACACCGCUCUGGUGUACCGGUUGUCACGCUCGUGGCAGUGCCGGGUAGCUACCGGUGGACGGGAUAAACGCUGAAAGCAUCUAAGCGUGAAGCCCACUCUAAGAUGAAUCGUCCCUACGAAUGCCGUUGAAGACUACAACGUUGAUAGGUUGGGGGUGUAAGUGCGUAUAUCCAAAGGCACUAAGCUGACCAAUACUAAUCGCAUCAUUGGCUUGAUCGU